Molecule: long non-coding RNA, 1110 nt
Filed under: Canis lupus familiaris (dog)
Lineage: Eukaryota; Metazoa; Chordata; Mammalia; Carnivora; Canidae
Description: lncRNA (ENSCAFG00030002208.1)
Source: RNAcentral
GGGCCUAGGCCAACGCCCCAGGCCUGCCCUGCAGGGACCCCGGGCCUCCCCUCCCCUGGAGGAGCCCAGGAGCCUCUCCAGGUCGCCCCGCGACGGGCGCCCGCGCAUCCGCGGCUCUGGCGGCAGAGGGCACCCCUGCCCCGCCCGUGGAUCGGAGGCUCCCGCGUGGGUAAAGGGUGGGGGGGACGGGAGCGAGCAGGGCUGCAGGGGGAAGCCGACGGCCUGGUCCAUCUUUGGCUCCCGGGGGGGCUCUUCUUGGAUCCGCAAGAGCAGGAGCGAAGGGGCCAGCUGCGGGGGGCGGUGGGGCGCAGGGGGGCGGGGGGGCGGGGGUUCAGGGGGGCGGGGGGCCGGGGGAGAGGGGUAGUUCCCGAGCCUGGGCCACACGGGGGCGGCUGGGAGCAAAGGGGCCCGACGGGGACAGGCGGCCGGGCCCUGUUUGUUUACCUGGCUUCUGAGACUGGGCCUCCUUCCCCGCGGCCCAGGGGCGCCCGCCAGGUGCGCCCCGCCCACCACCUGGUCCCGACCGCGGCUGCCUGUGGGUGCGGCACCUGCCCCUGCCCCUGCCCGGUGGGUGCGACACUUGCCGCCGCGCCCCGCGGAUGUGGCCUCUCCGUGCUCCCCCGGGGGCGGCACCUCUGCAUGCUCCCUGCAGGUGCAGCACCUGUCCGUGCUCCCCCGGGGGCGGCACCUCUCCGUGCCCCCCGCAGGUGCAGCACCUCUCCAGGCUCCCCGCAGGUGCAGCACCUCUCCGUGCUCCCCCGGGGGCGGCACCUCUCCGUGUCCCCCGCAGGUGCAGCACCUCUCCGUGCCUCCCGCAGGUGCAGCACCUCUCCGUGCCCCCCGCAGGUGCAGCACCUCUCCGUGCUCCCCCGGGGGCGGCACCUCUGCAUGCUCCCCGCAGGUGCAGCACCUCUCCAGGCUCCCCGCGGGGCGGCACCUCUGCCUGCUCCCCCGGGCGCGGCACCUGCCCCAGCCCCCAGAGGGUAUGACACCUGCCCCGGCUCACUGCGGGUGCGUCACCUGUCGGGUGGGACUGACGCUCCCACCGGGUCCACAGGGAGAGAGGAACAGGGGUUUGGCCGCCUCCCCGGGCUUGCGCAGCCUUCCUGA